This 477-nucleotide ribosomal RNA is filed under the name uncultured bacterium. RNAcentral describes it as "bacterial SSU rRNA". It matches the Rfam family "Bacterial small subunit ribosomal RNA", at positions 30 to 504 of the family's 1533-position model. The record is from RNAcentral.
UGAACGCUAGCGGGAGGCUUAACACAUGCAAGUCGAGGGGCAGCAUUCACUUCGGUGAGAUGGCGACCGGCGCACGGGUGCGUAACGCGUAUGCAACCUACCUUAUACAGAGGGAUAGCCCAUGGAAACGUGGAUUAAUACCUCAUAGUACUAUAAAGCUACAUAGUUUAAUAGUUAAAACUUCGGUGGUAUAAGAUGGGCAUGCGUAUGAUUAGCUAGAUGGUGAGGUAACGGCUCACCAUGGCGACGAUCAUUAGGGGUUCUGAGAGGAUUAUCCCCCACACUGGUACUGAGACACGGACCAGACUCCUACGGGAGGCAGCAGUGAGGAAUAUUGGUCAAUGGGCGAGAGCCUGAACCAGCCAUCCCGCGUGCAGGAUGACGGCCCUAUGGGUUGUAAACUGCUUUUCUACGCCAAGAAACCCUACUACGUGUAGUAGGUUGACGGUAGCGUAGGAAUAAGGACCGGCUAACUCC